GAUGAAGAACGUAGCGAAAUGCGAUACGUAGUGUGAAUUGCAGAAUUCAGUGAAUCAUCGAAUCUUUGAACGCACAUUGCACCUCUCGGUAUUCCGGGAGGUAUGCCUGUUCGAGCGUCAUUUGUACCCUCAAGCUCUGCUUGGUGUUGGGUGUUUGUUCCGCCUCUGUGUGUGAACUCGCCUCAAAACAAUUGGCAGCCGGCGUACUUGUUUCGGAGCGCAGCACAUUUUGCGAUCCAGAUCGACGUACAGCGGCAUCCAAGAAGCCUUAUUUAACGCUCUUGACCUCGGAUCAGGUAGGGAUACCCGCUGAACUUAAGCAUAUCAAUAAGCGGAGGA
RNAcentral lists this unclassified non-coding RNA (339 nucleotides) under soil metagenome. Its description in RNAcentral is "partial contains 5.8S ribosomal RNA, internal transcribed spacer 2, and large subunit ribosomal RNA". The stretch from base 1 to 120 matches the Rfam family "5.8S ribosomal RNA", at positions 35 to 154 of the family's 154-position model. The record is from RNAcentral.